Non-coding RNA from Carassius gibelio (silver crucian carp), 714 nucleotides. The record is from the annotation of a RefSeq genome assembly. Lineage: Eukaryota; Metazoa; Chordata; Actinopteri; Cypriniformes; Cyprinidae.
CAUUUUUUAAUUUAUGCUGUAGUAUAUUACACGCAUCUAUGAAAAUCAGGAGAAAACAUUAAUGAUUGUUACAGAAUCUUUCUUCUGUUCUCCAGGAGUGAAAUGUAAACAGAGAGGAGGGUCUACAGAGAUCUGACACAAUCUAAUCAAAUCAGACUGGAGUAGAAACAAUUCAGUCUUCCAGUGAACACACUGCACUGCACAAUGGAUGUAUUUUCAGUUUUUCUCUUCUAUAGUCUGGCAUCUGCUGUCUCUGGAAACAUCACACCAGAUGAAACAGAGCUUUCUGCUGAGGAGGGUUCAAAUGUUACAUUAUCCUGUAGUUAUUCUUCUGCAGAUUAUCUAUUCUGGUACCGUCAGUAUCCUGGAUCAGCUCCUGAACAUCUCGUGCUCAUCUUUGAUGGUUCAUCAAACACAAAAAAGUCUUAUGUAGAUCCAAGACUCUCAGUUAAACUCACUAACCGGGAACAAAAGCAUGUGGAUCUGAUCAUCUCCUCUGCUGCUGUAUCAGACUCUGCUCUGUAUUACUGUGCUCUGAGGCCCACAGUGACAGGAAACACAUCAGCUCUCUACAAAAACCCUUUACCAGAGAGAUUUGUUCAAAGCAAACGGCAUCAUGUGACAGCGAGCAGGAAGUUCCUGUUUGUCUUUAUGACCUUCAGGGUCUCAUACACAGUGCAGAAUAUUGACAGGCUCAAGAAAGACCUGAGCUGA